Molecule: ribosomal RNA, 253 nt
Filed under: uncultured bacterium
Lineage: Bacteria
Description: partial 16S ribosomal RNA
Rfam family: Bacterial small subunit ribosomal RNA
Source: RNAcentral
UACGUAGGUGGCGAGCGUUGUCCGGAUUUACUGGGCGUAAAGGGAGCGUAGGCGGACUUUUAAGUGAGAUGUGAAAUACUCGGGCUCAACUUGAGUGCUGCAUUUCAAACUGGAAGUCUAGAGUGCAGGAGAGGAGAAUGGAAUUCCUAGUGUAGCGGUGAAAUACGUAGAGAUUAGGAAGAUCACCAGUGGCGAAGGCGAUUCUCUGGACUGUGACUGACGCUGAGGCUCGAAAGCGUGGGGAGCAAACAGG